Long non-coding RNA from Oncorhynchus keta (chum salmon), 1032 nucleotides. RefSeq lists it as uncharacterized. NCBI's taxonomy places the organism in Eukaryota, Metazoa, Chordata, Actinopteri, Salmoniformes, Salmonidae. The transcript is spliced from 3 exons. The record is from RefSeq and is a predicted model, not a curated record.
UGUGUAAACGCAGUCUCUGGCUCAGCGAGAACAGUGGUUGAAUUCAAAUCACAUUUGAUUUGUUACGUGCUUAGUCUACACCUGUGGUUUACUAACAGUGAACUGCUUGGUAAACAACAGGUGUAGGCUAACAGUGAACUGCUUGGUAAACAACAGGUGUAGGCUAACAGUGAACUGCUUGGUAAACAACAGGUGUAGGCUAACAGUGAACUGCUUGGUAAACAACAGGUGUAGGCUAACAGUGAACUGCUUGGUAAACAACAGGUGUAGGCUAACAGUGAACUGCUUGGUAAACAACAGGUGUAGGCUAACAGUGAACUGCUUGGUAAACAACAGGUGUAGGCUAACAGUGAACUGCUUGGUAAACAACAGGUGUAGGCUAACAGUGAACUGCUUGGUAAACAACAGGUGUAGGCUAACAGUGAACUGCUUGGUAAACAACAGGUGUAGGCUAACAGUGAACUGCUUGGUAAACAACAGGUGUAGGCUAACAGUGAACUGCUUGGUAAACAACAGGUGUAGGCUAACAGUGAACUGCUUGGUAAACAACAGGUGUAGGCUAACAGUGAACUGCUUGGUAAACAACAGGUGUAGGCUAACAGUGAACUGCUUGGUAAACAACAGGUGUAGGCUAACAGUGAACUGCUUGGUAAACAACAGGUGUAGGCUAACAGUGAAAUGCUUUCUGACGGGUCCUUUUAAGAUCAAUAGAAAUAGUGACGCAAGGAAUAAAUACAGUGAAUAACAAUAACAGGUAAAACGAACAUGGCUGUAUACAGGGAGUUCCAGGUAGUAACAUGGCUAUAUACAGGAAGUACCAGGUAGUAACAUGGCUAUAUACAGGAAGUACCAGGUAGUAACAUGGCUAUAUACAGGAAGUACCAGGUAGUAACGUGGCUAUAUACAGGGAGUACCAGGUAGUAACGUGGCUAUAUACAGGGAGUUCCAGGUAGUAACGUGGCUAUAUACAGGGGUUCCAGGUAGUAACGUGGCUAUAUACAGGAAGUACCAGGUAAUAACGUGGCUAUAUAC